This 321-nucleotide ribosomal RNA is filed under the name uncultured Proleptomonas. RNAcentral's name for it is "SSU rRNA". The stretch from base 113 to 321 matches the Rfam family "Eukaryotic small subunit ribosomal RNA", at positions 745 to 955 of the family's 1831-position model. The record is from RNAcentral. Lineage: Eukaryota; Cercozoa; Glissomonadida.
GAUUUCUGACCUGAAACAUUUUGCCGGCCACGGUUUCGUGUGUUAGUGCUUGAUGUUCUGGUCAUCCUUCCAAUCGCUGCUUGUUUUUCUUCAUUGAUUAGCAAGUAGUAUUGGAUCUUUUACUUUGAAAAAAUUAGAGUGUUUCAAGCAGGCUAUUGCUAUGAAUACAUUAGCAUGGAAUAAUAAUUUAGGACUUCGGUUCUAUUUUGUUGGUUUCUAGGACUGAAGUAAUGAUUGAUAGGGAUAGUUGGGGGUGCUAGUAUUCAGCGGCCAGAGGUGAAAUUCUUGGAUUCGCUGAAGACUAACUUAUGCGAAAGCAUU